GCCGCACUGCGCGAGGCGCGCGGCCUGGGACCGCUGGAGGCAGUCCUUGAACAGGAGUACCGCGUCUCCUGCGCGGCAC
RNAcentral lists this transfer RNA (79 nucleotides) under Streptomyces hygroscopicus. Its description in RNAcentral is "tRNA-Ser". The record is from RNAcentral. Lineage: Bacteria; Bacillati; Actinomycetota; Actinomycetes; Kitasatosporales; Streptomycetaceae.